RNAcentral lists this ribosomal RNA (253 nucleotides) under uncultured bacterium. RNAcentral's name for it is "partial 16S ribosomal RNA". It matches the Rfam family "Bacterial small subunit ribosomal RNA", at positions 524 to 776 of the family's 1533-position model. The record is from RNAcentral.
UACGGAGGGGGCUAGCGUUGUUCGGAAUCACUGGGCGUAAAGGGUGCGUAGGCGGGUUUUUAAGUCAGGGGUGAAAUCCUGGAGCUCAACUCCAGAACUGCCUUUGAUACUGAAGAUCUCGAGUCCGGGAGAGGUGAGUGGAACUGCGAGUGUAGAGGUGAAAUUCGUAGAUAUUCGCAAGAACACCAGUGGCGAAGGCGGCUCACUGGCCCGGUACUGACGCUGAGGCACGAAAGCGUGGGGAGCAAACAGG